AACAAAUGUUAAUAAAGGAGAAUCAGUGGCGCCAUCUACGCAUGAAGUUCGUCAUUAAUCAUGUCCACACGACAGUGGAACUCGAACAUCGCGUAUCGAGAAUUUGUAUUAAUUGCGUAGCGGCAUAAUAACGGUGUGUUCGUUUAUGGAAAGUACGUAUCAAGCAUUGAAUCUUUGACGAGGCGCGUUUCUUAUUUAGGCUUCGUUUUCACUAGCAUUGUAGACCAGAAAAUGGCACGGCCAUUUGUUGCGUACAGACGCGAAUCUUUCGCCUUUUAUAUUCAUGUUGGAUAAGGAAAGUCAUGGUACAAUAAGUAUGAAACAUGUUAUUUCAAAAUAUCGUUGUACUACGCAGAUAGAUGUAGUUCUGUGACCUGCGGUUGUAUGGGACUGCAUUAUCGAGUCGAAGAGAAGGCGUAAGCGGUUUUAAUCGGUUUGAAAUCGUGCGAGGUCACACCACUCGUUUAUACGUUUAUCCAAGACGAGCGAAUAAAGGCUUGGUAAAAUGUAGCAAAGAUUUGUAUAUAACUAUGCAAUUAAUGAAACUUGACAAUUUGAUGACGUCACAGGAGCACAGAAUCGCUAUGUCAUAUCAAUCAAGAGUAAUAUAUGUAGAAAGCCGAAUCAUAAAAACGUUAAAAUGAUUUUUAGAAAUGUCAUAAAUUUUGUAAUAUGAAGAUACAGAGAUAUAAAACGCAAAUGUCAAAAGUAAAAUGCUGGCAGUGCGUGAGGAAAAUGUGAUCAAUACUUUACCAAGUACUUCAAGUUAAGAAUUCGUGUGAACGUAUGUGCGGAGAGUAGAGGCG
Molecule: long non-coding RNA, 806 nt
Organism: Eufriesea mexicana
Lineage: Eukaryota; Metazoa; Arthropoda; Insecta; Hymenoptera; Apidae
Exons: 3
Source: RefSeq, a predicted model, not a curated record